RNAcentral lists this unclassified non-coding RNA (241 nucleotides) under Septoria cucubali. Its description in RNAcentral is "sequence contains 5.8S rRNA gene". The stretch from base 1 to 53 matches the Rfam family "5.8S ribosomal RNA", at positions 102 to 154 of the family's 154-position model. Lineage: Eukaryota; Fungi; Ascomycota; Dothideomycetes; Mycosphaerellales; Mycosphaerellaceae. The record is from RNAcentral.
GAACGCAUCUUGCGCUCCUUGGUAUUCCGAGGAGCAUGCCUGUUUGAGUGUCAUUUCACCACUCAAGCCUGGCUUGGUAUUGGGCGCCGCGGUCAAUCCGCGCGCCUCAAAGUCUCCGGCUGAGCUGUCCAUCUCUAAGCGUUGUGAUUUCAUUAAUCGCUUCGGAGUGCGGGCGGCCGCGGCCGUUAAAUCUUUCACAAGGUUGACCUCGGAUCAGGUAGGGAUACCCGCUGAACUUAAG